Molecule: ribosomal RNA, 775 nt
Filed under: uncultured Neocallimastigales
Lineage: Eukaryota; Fungi; Neocallimastigomycota; Neocallimastigomycetes; Neocallimastigales
Description: partial large subunit ribosomal RNA
Rfam family: Eukaryotic large subunit ribosomal RNA
Source: RNAcentral
CGCAUCUGUGCAUGCAGCAUAUCAAUAAGCGGAGGAAAAGAAACUAACAAGGAUUCCCCUAGUAACGGCGAGUGAAGCGGGAAGAGCUCAAAUUUGAAAUCUUAAAGGGUUUCCCUUUACGAAUUGUAGUUUAAAGAAGUGUUUUCUGUUGAGGUUUUGGUAAAAGUUCUUUGGAAUAGGACAUCAUAGAGGGUGAGAAUCCCGUAUUUGACCUUUACUUUCAACUUUGUGAUACACUUUCAAAGAGUCGGAUUGUUUGGGAAUGCAGUCCAAAAUGGGUGGUAAAUUUCAUCUAAAGCUAAAUAUUGGCGAGAGACCGAUAGCGAACAAGUACCGUGAGGGAAAGAUGAAAAGAACUUUGAAAAGAGAGUUAAACAGUACGUGAAAUUGUCAAAAGGGAAGCGUUUGACACCAGUGUUGUUUUUCUGAAAAUCAAUUAAAGAACUGUUUAUGCUAAGUUGUUUAGACUUUAUCAGCUAACUGUUUAGUUUUGAGCUUUUCUUUAAUGCACCUUUUCAGUUAACAAGUCAACAUCAAUUUCUUUUGCUGUAAAAAAGCUUGAGGAAGGUGGCUUGAGAUUCGUCUUAAGUGUUUAUAGCCUCUUGCCUAUGCAGUCGGAGAGAUUGAGGUCUGCAGCGUAGAUCCUUCGGGGCUAAAUGCAUUUGUGCUAAGUUAUAGCAUUUUAUAGACAACUUGUUGACUAUGAUUUGUCUUGUAGCUUACUCGCUUAUGUUAUUUUACCUACGCUUAGGAUGUUGAAGAUGUAGCACAUCAU